Molecule: ribosomal RNA, 702 nt
Filed under: Agaricus crocopeplus
Lineage: Eukaryota; Fungi; Basidiomycota; Agaricomycetes; Agaricales; Agaricaceae
Description: eukaryotic LSU rRNA
Source: RNAcentral
UGCGGAAGGAUCAUUAUUGAAUUAUGUUUUCCGGAUGGGUUGUAGCUGGCUCCUCGGAGCAUGUGCACGCUUGUUCGGACUUCAUUUUCAUCCACCUGUGCACCUUUUGUAGUCUUCGUCGGAUUUUGAGGAAGUGGUCGGCCUAUCAGCACUUGCUGGAUUUGAGGACCUGUGGUGUGCAAGCACUGCUGUUCUCUAUGCGACCACGGAAUCGUCUUCCUGUCGGAGUCUAUGUCAUUCAUAUACCCUAUMGAAUGUUAUCGAAUGUCUUUACAUGGGCCUAGCCUAUGAAAACUAUAAUACAACUUUCAGCAACGGAUCUCUUGGCUCUCGCAUCGAUGAAGAACGCAGCGAAAUGCGAUAAGUAAUGUGAAUUGCAGAAUUCAGUGAAUCAUCGAAUCUUUGAACGCAUCUUGCGCUCCUUGGUAUUCCGAGGAGCAUGCCUGUUUGAGUGUCAUUAAAUUCUCAACUCUCCAAUACUUUUGCGGUAAAGGAGGGCUUGGAUUGUUGGGGGGUUGUGCUGGCCACUUUGUGAGGCCAGCUCCCCUGAAAUGCAUUAGCGGAACCGUUUGCGAUCUGCCACAAGUGUGAUAACUAUCUACACUAGCGAGGGGAUUGCUCUGUGUUGUUCAGCUUCCAAUCGUCUGCAAAGACAAUUUUCUGAAUGCUUGACCUCAAAUCAAGUAGGAUUACCCGCUGAGC